UAGGCGAGGGGGCUGGGGGCUGCCGGGCUUUAUGCCCGAGGAAGUUCCGCCCACCGCACCGGGGCCGCGGUGCCGUAAGGCACCUCCCGAGAGGGAGGGCAACGGCGCAGAAACGACACGUCCUCCGAGGGAUGGGAAUGAAAGCGGUGAAGGGGGCUGGUGACAGCUCCCGAGCUAACCCGCAGACGACCUCGGGGGGAUCGGUGAAACGGCCGUCCCGCGGGGUGCAAGGCCGAAAGAGGGACGAUGAGUUCCCGGUGUGAGUCCCGUGGUUGGCCGCUUAGUCGAAUGCUCCCUUAAUACAGAAGGCGGGCUAUAGCCCCCUCGCCUA
Molecule: non-coding RNA, 331 nt
Organism: Pyrococcus furiosus
Lineage: Archaea; Methanobacteriati; Methanobacteriota; Thermococci; Thermococcales; Thermococcaceae
Source: Rfam